AACUUGUCUUGUCUUUUUUAUGAUAAUUUAUAACUCGCAGCAGUACCUAUCACAGCCACGUCAGUCGUGAGGUGAAUUAGGAUAUGCAAAGAAAAUAUAUCUUUUUUUAUUUCAGAGUGAUAAAGCGACGGCCACUGCUGCGUUGUUUCUUCUUAUUUCUGCCAAUUCGAAGUCUAGCUGAGAGUGAACAGACACAAAGUCGCCUAAGCCAUACUUAGAGCUCUAGCAAUUAAGCUGGCAACAACCGCUACAAGCAUUGCUUUGGACUACUGCUGCUUGAUAGUGCCGACUCCUAUUACUUGUGAAGAUGUUGACAUAAUGCCAUCGUUGGCUUCUAAGAUUGCUGCUCUAAUCAACUGAGAGCGUUUUGAAUAGUCCCCGCUGUUGGCUGUUUCUGCUGUUGACUGAUUACUAGUGAUCUCAGAUGGUUGGCAGAAAACUCAAAAGAGGAGAGAAUACAGAAGCGGAUCGUGCCCUUUAAGUCACAUGUUGCUUUCUACCACAUCGUUUCAAACGAAGUUUUACUAUAAUAUUUCUCUAGUUUGGACUUGGUGUGUAAUUAAUAGUCAUUGCUUUGGUCAAUACACAGCCUCUUUACCUUGUACAUGAAGGGAAUAUUUAGAUUGUUAUUCUUUCAUCCCGAAUAAGGACAUGAAAGAGCACGAUUUUUGUAUCUAUUAGAAUAGACCGAACAAUUUUUGUCAGAAGUAAUUAUGUAUAUUGACAGUAUAGCUGAACAGGUUGGGGAAAUAUAUAUCUGUUGAGAGAAGACUUGUUCUCGUAAGACAAAAAUUCUAGCCUCUAUGCUUGCAGCUGGAGGGGCCUCUGUUUCUGAACGGGGGAACUUUGUUUCAGCAGGCUUGCAUAGAAGGGUUGGAUUCGUUAAUGGGGCAAAUUGGACACAUGAUGAGGUGCAAAUUUAGGAAUAUUUUUGUCUCAUAUAAGAUAAAAAAUAUAUGCACGUAGCCGUUUACAAAGUGAUCAAUUCAUCACACACGAAACAAAUAAUUGAUCUGCAAGUCAUCGUAAUUCGUUUCAAUUUUCUAGCUGCGAGCUCACAACAUUCAAAUACUUCACAAAGUCUACAAAGUUAAUAAAUAAAUAUACGUGACAGACUUAUUCUCAGACCAUUUCAAUAUUGGCAAAUAAUAAGUCUCUAAUUUUUAUGAGUCUGCUCAUAAUUUCUUUUGUGUUGACCCUAUUCUCAGGUGAUUCGCUUGUACACUCCAUUGCUAAACUCAAAACAGAUGAUGCACAUGACUGCUUUGCAACAUUAGC
Molecule: long non-coding RNA, 1278 nt
Filed under: Citrus sinensis (sweet orange)
Lineage: Eukaryota; Viridiplantae; Streptophyta; Magnoliopsida; Sapindales; Rutaceae
Description: long non-coding RNA (CSIN_LNC005029)
Source: RNAcentral